CCUACGGGUGGCAGCAGUGAGGAAUAUUGGUCAAUGGGCGCGAGCCUGAACCAGCCAAGUAGCGUGAAGGAUGACUGCCCUACGGGUUGUAAACUUCUUUUAUAUGGGAGUAAAAUGUUCCACGUGUGGGAUUUUGUAUGUACCAUAUGAAUAAGGAUCGGCUAACUCCGUGCCAGCAGCCGCGGUAAUACGGAGGAUCCGAGCGUUAACCGGAUUUAUUGGGGUUAAAGGGAGCGUAGGUGGAUUGUUAAGUCAGUUGUUAAAGUUUGCGGCUCAACCGUAAAAUUGCAGUUGAAACUGGCAGUCUUGAGUACAGGAGAGGUGGGCGGAAUUCGUGGUGUAGCGGUGAAAUGCUUAGAUAUCACGAAGAACUCCGAUUGCGAAGGCAGCUCACUGGACUGCAACUGACGCUGAGGCUCGAAAGUGUGGGUAUCAAACAGGAUUAGAUACCCGAGUAGUC
RNAcentral lists this ribosomal RNA (460 nucleotides) under uncultured bacterium. Its description in RNAcentral is "partial 16S ribosomal RNA". It matches the Rfam family "Bacterial small subunit ribosomal RNA", at positions 338 to 795 of the family's 1533-position model. The record is from RNAcentral.